ACGAAUUUCCCCACUAGCAACUUCACCUAAGCACAACAAGGUAAUAAAUAAAUAAAAGGGUUUUCUAAAGGAUUUGGGCUUGAAUUAAAUAAAAUAAAAGAUUUGGGUUGGAUGGUUAGAGCCUAAUGGGUUUAGGGUAAAGGGUUUUUGGGUUAAAAAGGAUUAGGGUGCAAAGGUGGUUUGGGCCACACAACCAACACACACAUACACUACACAAACACACACACAUGCACGACAUGCACACCCACACAUACACAUACACACUACACGAUGCACGCACACACACACAAACAUACUACACAACAUGUUGGAAAUGUGCCCUAAAACCAAUCAUAUGAUGAUACUUUACGGACAUUUCACAUGUUAAACUAAUCUAGUUUAAUAUCAAGGGCAUAGAUUAUUGUUUUAAGCCGUCUCAUAUAAAUGUUAUAUGCUUAAACAAUGAGUCCAAGGAAUAUGUAAUUAGGAGAAUGUAAUUUAAAGAAGUUAGAUUCAUGAGACCAUUCUCUUUCGUAUUCAUAUCCUAAAUGUUCCUGAUCAUAGGAUUGCCAAUUGGGCAUUGACAGUCCGUUAAGAUCAGUAUGUGCUAUGUAUUCUCUUAGUGAGAGUGACUGUCUCGAGUCAUUGGUGUGACUGACACCAAGAUAAGUACGUAGGUGCUCAAUAAGGAAUGAGUUCACUGAACACGAUCAACGAAGAGUUCUCAUA
RNAcentral lists this long non-coding RNA (708 nucleotides) under Malus domestica (apple). RNAcentral's name for it is "long non-coding RNA (MDOM_LNC000233)". The record is from RNAcentral. Lineage: Eukaryota; Viridiplantae; Streptophyta; Magnoliopsida; Rosales; Rosaceae.